AGUGGCGGACGGGUGAGUAACGCGUGGGUAACCUGCCCUGUACAGGGGGAUAACAGCUGGAAACGGCUGCUAAUACCGCAUAAGCGCACGAGGAGACAUCUCCUAGUGUGAAAAACUCCGGUGGUACAGGAUGGGCCCGCGUCUGAUUAGCUGGUUGGCAGGGUAACGGCCUACCAAGGCAACGAUCAGUAGCCGGUCUGAGAGGAUGAACGGCCACAUUGGAACUGAGACACGGUCCAAACUCCUACGGGAGGCAGCAGUGGGGAAUAUUGCACAAUGGGGGAAACCCUGAUGCAGCAACGCCGCGUGAGUGAAGAAGUAUUUCGGUAUGUAAAGCUCUAUCAGCAGGGAAGAUAAUGACGGUACCUGACUAAGAAGCUCCGGCUAAAUACGUGCCAGCAGCCGCGGUAAUACGUAUGGAGCAAGCGUUGUCCGGAUUUACUGGGCGUAAAGGGAGCGUAGGCGGACUUUUAAGUGAGAUGUGAAAUACCCGGGCUCAACUUGGGUGCUGCAUUUCAAACUGGAAGUCUAGAGUGCAGGAGAGGAGAAUGGAAUUCCUAGUGUAGCGGUGAAAUGCGUAGAUAUUAGGAGGAACACCAGUGGCGAAGGCGGCUUGCUGGACGACAACUGACGCUGAGGCGCGAAAGCGUGGGGAGCAAACAGGAUUAGAUACCCUGGUAGUCCACGCUGUAAACGAUGAAUACUAGGUGUGGGAGGACUGACCCCUUCCGUGCCGCAGUUAACACAAUAAGUAUUCCACCUGGGGAGUACGACCGCAAGGUUGAAACUCAAAGGAAUUGACGGGGGCCCGCACAAGCAGUGGAUUAUGUGGUUUAAUUCGACGCAACGCGAAGAACCUUACCAGGAUUUGACAUCCAACUAACGAAGUAGAGAUACAUUAGGUACCCUUCGGGGGAAGUUGAGACAGGUGGUGCAUGGUUGUCGUCAGCUCGUGUCGUGAGAUGUUGGGUUAAGUCCCGCAACGAGCGCAACCCCUAUUGUUAGUUGCUACGAAAGAGCACUCUAGCGAGACUGCCGUUGACAAAACGGAGGAAGGCGGGGACGACGUCAAAUCAUCAUGCCCCUUAUGUCCUGGGCUACACACGUAAUACAAUGGCGGUCAACAGAGGGAUGCAAAGCCGCGAGGUGGAGCAAAUCCCUAAAAGCCGUCUCAGUUCGGAUUGCAGGCUGCAACUCGCCUGCAUGAAGCUGGAAUUGCUAGUAAUCGCGGAUCAGCAUGCCGCGGUGAAUACGUUCCCGGGCCUUGUACUCACCGCCCGUCA
Molecule: ribosomal RNA, 1283 nt
Filed under: uncultured bacterium
Lineage: Bacteria
Description: bacterial SSU rRNA
Rfam family: Bacterial small subunit ribosomal RNA
Source: RNAcentral